This 253-nucleotide ribosomal RNA is filed under the name uncultured bacterium. RNAcentral's name for it is "partial 16S ribosomal RNA". It matches the Rfam family "Bacterial small subunit ribosomal RNA", at positions 524 to 776 of the family's 1533-position model. The record is from RNAcentral.
UACAGGGGGGGCAAGCGUUGUUCGGAAUUACUGGGCGUAAAGGGCUCGUAGGCGGCCAACUAAGUCAGACGUGAAAUCCCUCAGCUUAACUGGGGAACUGCGUCUGAUACUGGAUGGCUUGGAUCCGGGAGAGGGAUGCGGAAUUCCCGGUGUAGCGGUGAAAUGCGCAGAUAUCGGGAGGAACACCAAUGGCGAAGGCAGCUCGCUGGGACGUGACUGACGCUGAGACGCGAAAGCGUGGGGAGCAAACAGG